UUCGCUCUUCAACGAGGAAUCCCUAGUAAGCACAAGUCACUAGCUUGUGCUGAUUACGUCCCUGCCCUUUGUACACACCGCCCGUCGCUACUACCGAUUGGAUGGCUUAGUGAGGCCCUCGGAUCGGAGGUGAGGACUGGCAACAGACCUCGCUUUCAAGAAGUUGGUCAAUCUUGGUCAUUUAGAGGAAGUAAAAGUCGUAACAAGGUUUCCGCAGGUGAACCUGCGGAAGGAUCAUUACCAACCUUUGUGAGCCUUGGACUCGUCCAUGGUCACGCGAAAUACGUAUUUAAAACCCGCUCAUAUUAACUAAAACAUGUGGUCAACAUAUGAUAAUUAAAGAUCACUUUCAACAACGGAUCUCUUGGCUCUCGCAUCGAUGAAGAACGUAGCGAAGUGCGAUAAGUAGUGUGAAUUGCAGAAUUCCGUGAAUCAUCGAAUUUUUGAACGCAAGUUGCACUCCCUGGUAUUCCGGGGAGUAUGCCUGUUUGAGGGUCAGUCUAAGUAAAAUCGAGGUGUCGCCUUGGUGACAAUUUCGGAAUUGGGUUGUCUUAACCUCUUUUCAGGUUAAGAGGCCUGAAGUUGAUGUUUUUUCGCGCAUCUUGGACGUGUAUAAUUCGCUUAUCCGUUUUCGAUGUCAAAUGUUUUAUUGGGUAUGGUCACGCCGUGUGUGAUCUCGUACCCAUAAUUUUUCAUAUUUUGACCUCAAAUCAGGUAGGAGUACCCGCUGAACUUAAGCAUAUCAAUAAGCGGAGGAA
This 758-nucleotide ribosomal RNA is filed under the name uncultured fungus. RNAcentral describes it as "eukaryotic LSU rRNA". The stretch from base 1 to 240 matches the Rfam family "Eukaryotic small subunit ribosomal RNA", at positions 1592 to 1831 of the family's 1831-position model. Lineage: Eukaryota; Fungi. The record is from RNAcentral.